Molecule: long non-coding RNA, 1505 nt
Filed under: Heterocephalus glaber (naked mole-rat)
Lineage: Eukaryota; Metazoa; Chordata; Mammalia; Rodentia; Bathyergidae
Description: lncRNA (ENSHGLG00000031999.1)
Source: RNAcentral
CUCAAAAAUAGAAAAUAAAAUUUAUUUACUGAAAAAGAAAAGCUUAACACAUGAUCCAUGUGCACAACCCACGUGAGAUCUACAAGCUCUGGCACAAUCCACAUCUCUACAUACACCACGCUGGAAACAUCCAGCAUGCACAUCGCGCACAGUCCCUCACGUCAGACUCACUCUGUGCUAGCUCUUCACUGCCGCGCAGCCACACAUCCAUUAACAUGGCUUACAACACAGCCACCUGAUUUCACUGACCACCGAAAGAAAAUAGCUUUCCCUGCAUCACCUUGAUCUAAGCCAAAGAACAGCUAACAGCAGCCACUUCCCACCCUCAUUCCCAGCUCCCUCCCUCUGACCUCCUCUCACCAGGGAUGGCUCAGUGUACACAGGAAAGGGAGUCACCCAACAGGCUGGCGCUCAGGGCAAACAGCCUGGCGGCCUGCCGAGUAACCGCAUGAGGUACUGGCCAUGAUUUCAGACAAUCGGCCUCGCUUCCUUCCCCUAAUGGACUGACGUGUAAUGUACUCGGGGAAAAUUGAAUUCUAAGGCAGACUGGAAGCUGCCUCCUAAGCACCGCACCCUGCCACCCCUGCUGUCUGUCCCCUGGGGGAGGAAGCAGCAUUCUGAGGCCCGGGGUGACCCUGAGGCCUGCCCUAGUAGCUGACCAGCUACAGGAAAAAGAAAAAUAAGAUAAACAGACAAAAAACAACCCAAGCGCAGAGCCCUUGCUGUGAGCAGGGAAGAGGAUGCUGUAAACGGACAUACACUGCGAUUCUGCACUGUCAAGAAAGAUGAGGUGAACCUGUAGUGUUGGACACGGAUGAUAUUUGGUGACAGUUCCUAGGCAGAGUGAAGAGCAAAUGCCAGUCACGCUCCUCACAGGAAGCAGCCGCACUGAGGAGGGACAUGGCCCACCCAGGAGCAGCAUUUGGAGAAAGAACCAAGAAAGCUCUGAGAGAGCUACGUCUGGGCUCACGGGCACCUGAGGCUGCACAGGACACAGGACAGCAGGGCCCUGCGCUGUGCCUCCAGCAGUUCCAGGAACUCAGAGGCCUCCACCGAAGCACCAGGGACAGGACACGGGUCUGCCCCUUCACACCGAAAGCAACUCUCCGGGUGGCAACAGCAAGACGGCCAGGCCCACAGGUGGGACAGAGCUGACUGUUUCUGAGCGCACUGUGGUCACGUCUGAGCCUGAGUCGUGAGAGGGCGCCACCUCUACCUAUCCCAGCUGGGGCCCUGGUCACCUGAGCACCUGUUACAGACCCCCAACAGCAGAAAGGCUGGCCGCAGAGGCUCACCCUCCUGGGGGAGAACGAGUAUCCCAUGCUGACAGCUUCGGGCCUGACACACUGCCAGACAGGCCAGCACUCACCGUGGAGAGUCCACUCUCCCAACCCUCCACCUGGAGGGCAGCCCUGCUGGCUUUGGAACAGGAGAAAAAGAAAAAGCUGGGCUGCCAGGGUGAGCCACAGCCCUCACAAACUCGGAUGAAGCACACACAAAGCCCU